GGGGAGCCGCGGCCCCACCGAAGGGACCCCCGGCCGCCGAGCGGCCUCUACGUCAGCGCCCCGGGUGGCGCCGCCUCCGCCCGCCGGCCUGGGCCGCCGCUCCCGCCGCCGGGAAGGCGGGCUGGGGAACCCUGCGGGGGAGAAGGAAGAGGAUAAAUGGCCAGGCAGCAGAACAUACGACUUGCCCCAGGAUAUCAUGCUGCCAGGAAGGAGAAACACCAGCAUCACCAUUCAGUCCAGCCCGCACCAGUGCCACCCACAGCCACUGACCCCUGGGCCCAUGACAGCAUCGCCCUUGGGCCUUCCUCUGCAAUUCUGGUGGUGUGGAAGGAGUGGCCAGCAUGGCUCCAGCAAGGAGGGAUGUCCUUGGCCUCCUUGUUCCAGCCACAGGGUCGCCGGAGCCCCAGCACCCUCUCCCUUCCUCUCUCCUUAAUGCCCACGCCUGCACCUACUGGAGCUUCAGGAGCGGGUGGACAGACCCAACUUGGAGCUAAGGGUUGGGUUCCAGCCCAGUCCCUGCUGAGAGUGACCUAAAGCAAGCUGUGCUGCUCUCUCACCUACAGCAAUUGCAACUAAGAGAUGAGAACCACCGGAAAGAAGGAGCACCUGCUUGUCAGGGAGCAGAGAGGGACCCUUGACAUGCGCGCGCUCCUGCUGCUGAGACUGUACUGUUCAGAAACCUGUCCCUCUCCCCUCUUAAAGCCAGAGGGCUCUCCCUGUCAGUUUGCUAUUCUCAAGUGGCGUGGGCCUGCCCCUUGAGAGAGGGAAGAAAAGCGCGUGGUUGUCACGGUGGGAGAGGUACUGCCUAGCAAUGGAUGGUGGAAGCUGGUGGGCCUGGAAAGUGUUCCUCCACAACGCUGUCCCUCUGCCAGGCACGUGCGAUCCAGAGUGGGUUAGACUGGUUCCCGUCACAGGCAGGGUCCUCAGUGGAAUGGUGUUUUUGAAAGAUGGAGCGUCCGGGCGCCCCCAUCUUCUCACAGCACAGAGAAGGGGCUGGCUGGCCCGCCACCGGGAGGCUGGCGCAGAGGGACUCAGCCGUGGCCCCGGAACAGCGGGCCACCGUCAGGAACCGGCGAGUCAGGGUGGGAAGAGGCCCUGGAGUGAGCGAGGCUAGCUUCACUUCCUUCAAACUCUGAAGGCCCACCCCAUAAAAAGAAGGGGUAAAUUCGUCUGGGGUCUGAACAGCCAGGACCAAGAGCGCUCUCAGGCUGCUAGUUGGAGAAACUGGCUCGGCUCGGGCCUUGCUGGGACUCGGGCUCCCAGGGUCUGCUCGGUCUCUCUCGGGGCACUCGGGUCUUUGCUGGGCCCGGCGCCGGCCCCGCACAGAGAACCGGCUUCAACGGCGCAGUCUCAGCCUCCGGGAGGAAAAAGCUGGGAGUAGGCCUCACUGACACGGCCCCGCCUCGCGGGCUGCGCGCGCACCGGGACCUGCGCGGUGGCGGACGGGGAAGCGCCACGCAAGGCCCCGCCCCGCCCUUCCACAGGAAGGAAACGCGCCCCCGGGCGAGCGCCAGCCCCUCCCUGGAGCGGGAUCGCCGCAGCUCUCCUGGCCGCCUCCGGCGCCGUUAGCCCACCAUCCCCCGCUAGAGGGCAGCACGGGGCGCUUUCUCCAGGCGCUCGGCGGACCUGGGUACGGGGACCUCAUAUCAGGCUGCAGAGAAGAGCCUUCAGUCAAAAGGAUGGCAUGAAAAACGGACUAUACUUGUAACAUCCAGCUUUUAAAACGUGGUGGAGUCAAAUUUAUUGCUUCCUCAGGGCUUAAAAAAACCUCUUCUGUAAGUCUGCUUUAUCAAACAGAAUUUUUUUAUCCCCUUGGUUGCUUGAAACUGAGCUAUCAAACAAAUUAAUCAUAUAUUAAUGUCCCUCUAAGCCGGAAACCUGGAAUUACUUUGAAAAGGUAAAAUAUUUUUCAACUUUGGUUUUCUGAUCUUUUCAGUAGUUGUUUCGAUUUGAAUUAAACCUCUAUAAAAUUAGCUUUUACAAGUGAAUUUAAAAGCCACGCCAUACUUUAUACUAAAAGAAUAAAGAUUUUUAUUAAGCAUUGUAAGUUGCAUUCAAUAGCCUUCAGAUACACCACACCACAAUCCAUCGACAGUCAAUCAAACCCAACAGCAGUUCAUUCUUGCACAAUCCAUGAGUUAGGGCAAAACUCCCUUCAACUUACAGUAAGAUCCUACUUAGCUCUUGCGGGCAGGGGUUGGGGAAUUACACCUCAUUUCUGAUCACUAAUGUGAUGAAGAGCAUCAGAAGUAUAUGAAAACGAUAAGAAGUGAUUCUGAUUUCAAAGUACAUUGUUUGGAAACAUUAACAAAAACAUCAAAAUGAUAGAAGUAUACCUGCUUCUACUAAAUUCUUGAUGGGAAAGUUCUCAAGAACAAGCAAUUUGUUUCCUGCUACAGAAGGGGGGGGUGGUUUUUUUUUUUUUAAGAUCAAAGGGUUUUUUUUCACAGAAUUUCAUAUUUGCUAAUAUGAAGGCAUAAAACAGCAACAAAGAACAAUAAUGCAUACAGCAGUGAAUACACCAGGGUAAUGUUGAUAUUCGAAACGGCUAGAUAAUUUUUGGGGGGCUUUAGAAUAAAUGCAACAGAGGUCAAUAAUCACAAAAUUUUAAGGUUAGAGCAAGAUCAGUCAAUGACUAAACAGAGUUAACAUCUUUUAUAGGACUAUUACUGAUUAUUAGCAUUUUUGUUUUGCAAAUGGGCACAUACUGUUAAGAAUGGAAGAAAGGACGAUAACAUGCAUAUUAACUACACACUUUAAAAAUUAUGAACCAUGCAGAAGUUUAGCUCAAGUAGUAGUACUAAUGGUCUACAUCCGAUUCAAAACCACAUAGUUCAUUGAUCACAGAUGCAUGGUAUUAGUCACGAAAGUUUCAGAACACAUUGUGUUGAUUUUGAAAGGUCAUUUGC
Molecule: long non-coding RNA, 2909 nt
Filed under: Homo sapiens (human)
Lineage: Eukaryota; Metazoa; Chordata; Mammalia; Primates; Hominidae
Description: HSALNT0152272
Source: RNAcentral